GCAGGAUCCGGGUGGACGGUCGAUCGCGCAGCUUUCGGUGCUGCUGCAAUCCGGUGCGCUCGAUCCGCGCGAUCUGGCA
Molecule: transfer RNA, 79 nt
Filed under: compost metagenome
Description: tRNA-Arg
Source: RNAcentral